RNAcentral lists this unclassified non-coding RNA (302 nucleotides) under Hevea brasiliensis (rubber tree). Lineage: Eukaryota; Viridiplantae; Streptophyta; Magnoliopsida; Malpighiales; Euphorbiaceae. The record is from RNAcentral.
GUUGAGUUUUGACAAGGGGUUUGACAUGUAGAAAGGUUUAGAAGGAAUUAAGUGAUCUGGGUUUUUGGUAGUCGGGUGGCUUGAGGUGGGUUUGGUGAGAUUUUUGAGGGUGGGAUCCAUGGAUGACGGAUUGGGAGGCGGUUCUGGGGAUGCUAAGAUGCGCCUGCGGGUGGUUUGGUGUGCCAUAGUACUAUUUUUGGAGUGUGUUGCAGGUGAGGGGGAUGAGGAAUAUGGAGAUGAAGAAGAUGGGGUGAAAAGUAUUUGGCUUUGUGCCUGUCUGGUGUAGUUAUGGGAGAUGGGAU